CCUACGGGAGGCUGCAGUGGGGAAUUUUGGACAAUGGGGGCAACCCUGAUCCAGCCAUGCCGCGUGCGGGAAGAAGGCCUUCGGGUUGUAAACCGCUUUUGUCAGGGAAGAAACGGUCUGCGCUAAUACCGCGGACUAAUGACGGUACCUGAAGAAUAAGCACCGGCUAACUACGUGCCAGCAGCCGCGGUAAUACGUAGGGUGCAAGCGUUAAUCGGAAUUACUGGGCGUAAAGCGUGCGCAGGCGGCUUUGCAAGACAGAUGUGAAAUCCCCGGGCUCAACCUGGGAACUGCAUUUGUGACUGCAUGGCUAGAGUGCGGCAGAGGGGGAUGGAAUUCCGCGUGUAGCAGUGAAAUGCGUAGAUAUGCGGAGGAACACCGAUGGCGAAGGCAAUCCCCUGGGCCUGCACUGACGCUCAUGCACGAAAGCGUGGGGAGCAAACAGGAUUAGAUACCCCGGUAGUC
Molecule: ribosomal RNA, 465 nt
Filed under: uncultured Piscinibacter sp.
Lineage: Bacteria; Pseudomonadati; Pseudomonadota; Betaproteobacteria; Burkholderiales; Sphaerotilaceae
Description: bacterial SSU rRNA
Rfam family: Bacterial small subunit ribosomal RNA
Source: RNAcentral